CGGCGACGAGCUCGACCUCGAGGCGGCGCUGCCCGUCGCGUUGGACGCGGUGGAGAGAGCGCAGGAAAUCUUCAAGCCGAGCCCCGCGAUCGAGCGCUUCCCGCACUACCUCCUCGCCGCGCGCGCUAACCUCGCGCUGCGCCGCGCGCGCGAGUGCGAGGACUUCCUCUCGCUCGCGUCGUGGCUCGUGUUGAAGCGCCCCGACGACGCGACGCACGAGAUGCGCGGCGACUUGGCGCGGAUGUUCGGGCAGCUGCGCAGCGCGCAGGGAGAGGGCGAGGAGGCGUUGAGGCGGUUCGCAGAAGACGUCUACUGGCGCGCGGAGGCGCACGGCCCGGAGGACCCGCGGACGACGAGCGGGUACUACGCGCUGUCGCGGCAGUUCGCGAAGAACGGCGACGACGCGCGCGCGCUGUCGUGCACGACGCCGAUCGUGGACGCGUGGUACGACGCGUGCGUCUCAGGCGCGUUCUUCUUCGCACUGGUUCCCAUACGAGCGCGUCGGCGUGGUGAACGCCGAUCCUUAAGGACUUUUGCCGGCGUUUCUCUCCGCCCAGGGUCCCUCGCUUUCAAUCCCGACACACCUCGACGCCUUUCAACUCCGCUUCUGACGCCUUUCAACUCCACCCCGACGUUCGCUCGUAUGGAACGCACCUCAGCGGUGCUCGGCGCGAAACUCUCGGAGGCGCUUCGCGUCGUGCGCACUCCGCCCGCGAAGACGCUGCCGUUUCACCGCGCGGGUUUGCUCGAGAUGAUCGAUAUGCUCGAGGACGUGCUGGAGACGCGGCGCGCGGCGCUCGGGGACAGGGAUCCGAGCUUGGGUGACUGCCGCGUC
RNAcentral lists this long non-coding RNA (835 nucleotides) under Micromonas pusilla. Its description in RNAcentral is "long non-coding RNA (MPUS_LNC000111)". Lineage: Eukaryota; Viridiplantae; Chlorophyta; Mamiellophyceae; Mamiellales; Mamiellaceae. The record is from RNAcentral.